This 1100-nucleotide ribosomal RNA is filed under the name Acinetobacter sp. M526. RNAcentral's name for it is "bacterial SSU rRNA". It matches the Rfam family "Bacterial small subunit ribosomal RNA", at positions 28 to 1123 of the family's 1533-position model. The record is from RNAcentral. Lineage: Bacteria; Pseudomonadati; Pseudomonadota; Gammaproteobacteria; Moraxellales; Moraxellaceae.
AUUGAACGCUGGCGGCAGGCUUAACACAUGCAAGUCGAGCGGGGUGAUGGUGCUUGCACUAUCACUUAGCGGCGGACGGGUGAGUAAUGCUUAGGAAUCUGCCUAUUAGUGGGGGACAACAUUUCGAAAGGAAUGCUAAUACCGCAUACGUCCUACGGGAGAAAGCAGGGGAUCUUCGGACCUUGCGCUAAUAGAUGAGCCUAAGUCGGAUUAGCUAGUUGGUGGGGUAAAGGCCUACCAAGGCGACGAUCUGUAGCGGGUCUGAGAGGAUGAUCCGCCACACUGGGACUGAGACACGGCCCAGACUCCUACGGGAGGCAGCAGUGGGGAAUAUUGGACAAUGGGCGGAAGCCUGAUCCAGCCAUGCCGCGUGUGUGAAGAAGGCCUUAUGGUUGUAAAGCACUUUAAGCGAGGAGGAGGCUACUUUAGUUAAUACCUAGAGAUAGUGGACGUACUCGCAGAAUAAGCACCGGCUAACUCUGUGCCAGCAGCCGCGGUAAUACAGAGGGUGCAAGCGUUAAUCGGAUUUACUGGGCGUAAAGCGCGCGUAGGCGGCUAAUUAAGUCAAAUGUGAAAUCCCCGAGCUUAACUUGGGAAUUGCAUUCGAUACUGGUUAGCUAGAGUGUGGGAGAGGAUGGUAGAAUUCCAGGUGUAGCGGUGAAAUGCGUAGAGAUCUGGAGGAAUACCGAUGGCGAAGGCAGCCAUCUGGCCUAACACUGACGCUGAGGUGCGAAAGCAUGGGGAGCAAACAGGAUUAGAUACCCUGGUAGUCCAUGCCGUAAACGAUGUCUACUAGCCGUUGGGGCCUUUGAGGCUUUAGUGGCGCAGCUAACGCGAUAAGUAGACCGCCUGGGGAGUACGGUCGCAAGACUAAAACUCAAAUGAAUUGACGGGGGCCCGCACAAGCGGUGGAGCAUGUGGUUUAAUUCGAUGCAACGCGAAGAACCUUACCUGGCCUUGACAUAGUAAGAACUUUCCAGAGAUGGAUUGGUGCCUUCGGGAACUUACAUACAGGUGCUGCAUGGCUGUCGUCAGCUCGUGUCGUGAGAUGUUGGGUUAAGUCCCGCAACGAGCGCAACCCUUUUCCUUAUUUGCCAGCG